This 392-nucleotide ribosomal RNA is filed under the name Klebsiella oxytoca. RNAcentral describes it as "bacterial SSU rRNA". It matches the Rfam family "Bacterial small subunit ribosomal RNA", at positions 920 to 1312 of the family's 1533-position model. Lineage: Bacteria; Pseudomonadati; Pseudomonadota; Gammaproteobacteria; Enterobacterales; Enterobacteriaceae. The record is from RNAcentral.
CCCGCACAAGCGGUGGAGCAUGUGGUUUAAUUCGAUGCAACGCGAAGAACCUUACCUACUCUUGACAUCCAGAGAACUUAGCAGAGAUGCUUUGGUGCCUUCGGGAACUGUGAGACAGGUGCUGCAUGGCUGUCGUCAGCUCGUGUUGUGAAAUGUUGGGUUAAGUCCCGCAACGAGCGCAACCCUUAUCCUUUGUUGCCAGCGGUCCGGCCGGGAACUCAAAGGAGACUGCCAGUGAUAAACUGGAGGAAGGUGGGGAUGACGUCAAGUCAUCAUGGCCCUUACGAGUAGGGCUACACACGUGCUACAAUGGCAUAUACAAAGAGAAGCGACCUCGCGAGAGCAAGCGGACCUCAUAAAGUAUGUCGUAGUCCGGAUUGGAGUCUGCAACU